GUGUCAGCAGCCGCGGUAAUACGGAGGAUCCAAGCGUUAUCCGGAUUUAUUGGGUUUAAAGGGUGCGUAGGCGGCCAAUUAAGUCAGGGGAGAAAGACGGUAGCUCAACUAUCGCAGUGCCCUUGAUACUGAAGAGCUUGAAUGGACUAGAGGUAGGCGGAAUGUGACAAGUAGCGGUGAAAUGCAUAGAUAUGUCACAGAACACCGAUUGCGAAGGCAGCUUACUAUGGUUUUAUUGACGCUGAGGCACGAAAGCGUGGGGAUCAAACAGGAUUAGAUACCCGGGUAGUCC
Molecule: ribosomal RNA, 292 nt
Filed under: uncultured bacterium
Lineage: Bacteria
Description: partial 16S ribosomal RNA
Rfam family: Bacterial small subunit ribosomal RNA
Source: RNAcentral